This 30-nucleotide non-coding RNA is filed under the name Mus musculus (house mouse). The record is from RNAcentral. Lineage: Eukaryota; Metazoa; Chordata; Mammalia; Rodentia; Muridae.
GAAGACUUUGUUCUGAUCUGAUGUGUUUCU